This 253-nucleotide ribosomal RNA is filed under the name uncultured bacterium. RNAcentral describes it as "partial 16S ribosomal RNA". It matches the Rfam family "Bacterial small subunit ribosomal RNA", at positions 524 to 776 of the family's 1533-position model. The record is from RNAcentral.
UACGUAGGUUGCGAGCGUUGUCCGGAUUUACUGGGCGUAAAGCGCGCGCAGGCGGUCCUGAAAGUCGAGCGUGAAAGCUCCCGGCCCAACUGGGAGAGGCCGUUCGAAACUUCAGGACUUGAAGGCGGGAGAGGCAAAUGGAAUCUCCGGUGUAGCGGUAAAAUGCGUAGAUACCGGAAGGAACACCAGUGGCGAAAGCGAUUUGCUGGCCCGCCCUUGACGCUCAGGCGCGAAAGCUAGGGGAGCGACCGGG